GCCUGGGUGGCUCAGUUGGUGGAGCACGCGACUCCUGGUCUUGGGUUGUGGGUUCGAGCCCCAUGUUGGGUG
This 72-nucleotide transfer RNA is filed under the name Felis catus (domestic cat). It matches the Rfam family "tRNA". From Rfam's summary of the family: Transfer RNA (tRNA) molecules are approximately 80 nucleotides in length. RNAcentral also lists the same sequence under 2 other names. The record is from Rfam by way of RNAcentral. Lineage: Eukaryota; Metazoa; Chordata; Mammalia; Carnivora; Felidae.